Molecule: transfer RNA, 77 nt
Filed under: Escherichia coli 2788150
Lineage: Bacteria; Pseudomonadati; Pseudomonadota; Gammaproteobacteria; Enterobacterales; Enterobacteriaceae
Also listed under: 1 other name
Description: tRNA-Val
Rfam family: tRNA
About the family: Transfer RNA (tRNA) molecules are approximately 80 nucleotides in length. Their secondary structure includes four short double-helical elements and three loops (D, anti-codon, and T loops).
Source: RNAcentral
GCGUUCAUAGCUCAGUUGGUUAGAGCCCCACCUUGACAUGGUGGGGGUCGGUGGUUCGAGUCCACUCGGACGCACCA